UACAGAGGUCCCAAGCGUUUGUUCGGAUUCACUGGGCGUAAAGGGUGCGUAGGUGGCUUGGUAAGUUCGAUGUGAAAUCUCCGGGCUUAACCCGGAAAUGGCAUUGAAUACUAUUGAGCUGGAGGUUUGGAGGGGGGACUGGAAUUCUCGGUGUAGCAGUGAAAUGCGUAGAUAUCGAGAGGAACACCAGUGGCGAAGGCGAGUCCCUGGACAACACCUGACACUGAGGCACGAAAGCUAGGGGAGCAAACAGG
Molecule: ribosomal RNA, 254 nt
Filed under: uncultured bacterium
Lineage: Bacteria
Description: partial 16S ribosomal RNA
Rfam family: Bacterial small subunit ribosomal RNA
Source: RNAcentral